RNAcentral lists this ribosomal RNA (468 nucleotides) under uncultured bacterium. RNAcentral's name for it is "partial 16S ribosomal RNA". It matches the Rfam family "Bacterial small subunit ribosomal RNA", at positions 28 to 507 of the family's 1533-position model. The record is from RNAcentral.
GACGAACGCUGGCGGUGUGCUUAACACAUGCAAGUCGAACGGAAAGGCCCUGCUUUUGUGGGGUGCUCGAGUGGCGAACGGGUGAGUAACACGUGAGUAACCUGCCCUUGACUUUGGGAUAACUUCAGGAAACUGGGGCAAAUACCGGAUAGGAGCUCCUGCUGCAUGGUGGUGGUUGGAAAGUUUCGGCGGUUGGGGAUGGGCUCGCGGCUUAUCAGCUUGUUGGUGGGGUAGUGGCUUACCAAGGCUUUGACGGGUAGCCGGCCUGAGAGGGUGACCGGCCACACUGGGACUGAGAUACGGCCCAGACUCCUACGGGAGGCAGCAGUGGGGAAUAUUGCACAAUGGGCGGAAGCCUGAUGCAGCAACGCCGCGUGCGGGAUGACGGCCUUCGGGUUGUAAACCGCUUUCGCCUGUGACGAAGCGUGAGUGACGGUAAUGGGUAAAGAAGCACCGGCUAACUACGUG